UCAUCUUUCCUACUUCCCGGAAGGGAUAUUGUUUCAGAAAAUACAUAGUAGAAGCAGGCUUAAUAGGCAGCAACAGAUAAACACAUGUGCAACAAGAAAAUAAUUUUAGAUGACGAUUUGAAGGAAGCAGGUCAUGAUGGAAAGUUCUGGAACCAUAAGUGAAGAUAUCUGUCCCCUGGAUUUGGUCGAACUGAACUGAUCCUAUUGGUGUUCCCUACAUUCUGAUCCAUACCAUACAAUUUGGCUUUCAGAAUGAUUUGAAUCUCCCUUAUAAUAAGCUGAGGGUGCCUUGCCACCGAAGUAUGCAAUCUUUUGUUCCUCUCAUUCCAUAUAGCAUAGAA
This 341-nucleotide long non-coding RNA is filed under the name Brassica napus (rape). RNAcentral describes it as "long non-coding RNA (BNAP_LNC025167)". The record is from RNAcentral. Lineage: Eukaryota; Viridiplantae; Streptophyta; Magnoliopsida; Brassicales; Brassicaceae.